Long non-coding RNA from Gallus gallus (chicken), 309 nucleotides. RefSeq lists it as uncharacterized. The record is from RefSeq and is a predicted model, not a curated record. The transcript has 3 exons. NCBI's taxonomy places the organism in Eukaryota, Metazoa, Chordata, Aves, Galliformes, Phasianidae.
CUGUACACUAGGAAGCUACAGUAGAGUCACUAUGGCCGAGGACUGAUAAUGAUGACACUUCCCACAUCUGGAAUACGAAUUAAGAAUAUUUGUGUGUGAGUUAUUUACUCAUUUAUCCAGCGCUUUUUACUUCAGCCAUUUAUAUCAUUAUCCUACUGAUGUGAAGACACUGUAGCAUAUGAACCAAUAAGACUCACCAGCAUGCAAGUUACAGUUGAAGGCAUGCACAUUUCUGCUCUACAAAGAUAUUUCAUGCAGGGUUUCCUCAUUGGGACAGAAGUUACAGUAGAUUCAGUAAUCAGCUGAAAG